AUGAACGCUGGCGGCGUGCCUAAUACGUGCAAGUCGAGCGAACGGACGAGAAGCUUGCUUCUCUGAUGUUAGCGGCGGACGGGUGAGUAACACGUGGAUAACCUACCUAUAAGACUGGGAUAACUUCGGGAAACCGGAGCUAAUACCGGAUAAUAUUUUGAACCGCAUGGUUCAAAAGUGAAAGACGGUCUUGCUGUCACUUAUAGAUGGAUCCGCGCUGCAUUAGCUAGUUGGUAAGGUAACGGCUUACCAAGGCAACGAUGCAUAGCCGACCUGAGAGGGUGAUCGGCCACACUGGAACUGAGACACGGUCCAGACUCCUACGGGAGGCAGCAGUAGGGAAUCUUCCGCGAUGGGCGAAAGCCUGACGGAGCAACGCCGCGUGAGUGAUGAAGGUCUUCGGAUCGUAAAACUCUGUUAUUAGGGAAGAACAUAUGUGUAAGUAACUGUGCACAUCUUGACGGUACCUAAUCAGAAAGCCACGGCUAACUACGUG
Molecule: ribosomal RNA, 496 nt
Filed under: uncultured bacterium
Lineage: Bacteria
Description: partial 16S ribosomal RNA
Rfam family: Bacterial small subunit ribosomal RNA
Source: RNAcentral